UACGGAGGGUGCGAGCGUUAAUCGGAAUUACUGGGCGUAAAGCGCACGCAGGCGGUUUGUUAAGCUAGAUGUGAAAGCCCCGGGCUCAACCUGGGAUGGUCAUUUAGAACUGGCAGACUAGAGUCUUGGAGAGGGGAGUGGAAUUCCAGGUGUAGCGGUGAAAUGUGUGGAUAUCUGGAGGAACAUCAGUGGCGAAGGCGACUCCCUGGCCAAAGACUGACGCUCAUGUGCGAAAGUGUGGGUAGCGAACAGG
RNAcentral lists this ribosomal RNA (253 nucleotides) under uncultured bacterium. Its description in RNAcentral is "partial 16S ribosomal RNA". It matches the Rfam family "Bacterial small subunit ribosomal RNA", at positions 524 to 776 of the family's 1533-position model. The record is from RNAcentral.